UACGUAGGGUGCAGGCGUUAAUCGGAAUUACUGGGCGUAAAGCGUGCGCAGGCGGUUUGCUAAGACAGGUGUGAAAUCCCCGGGCUUAACCUGGGAACUGCGCUUGUAACUGGCAAGCUGGAGUGUGGCAGAGGGGGGUGGAAUUCCACGUGUAGCAGUGAAAUGCGUAGAGAUGUGGAGGAAUACCGAUGGCGAAGGCAGCCCCCUGGGAUAACACUGACGCUCAUGCACGAAAGCGUGGGGAGCAAACAGG
RNAcentral lists this ribosomal RNA (253 nucleotides) under uncultured bacterium. Its description in RNAcentral is "partial 16S ribosomal RNA". It matches the Rfam family "Bacterial small subunit ribosomal RNA", at positions 524 to 776 of the family's 1533-position model. The record is from RNAcentral.